CCUACGGGGGGCUGCAGUGAGGAAUAUUGGUCAAUGGCCGGAAGGCUGAACCAGCCAUGCCGCGUGAAGGUCAGUGCCCUAUGGGCGUUAAACUUCUUUUGUGCGGGAGCAAUCAUGGUCACGUGUGGCCAGACGAGAGUACCGUACGAAUAAGCAUCGGCUAACUCCGUGCCAGCAGCCGCGGGACUACGGGGGAUGCAAGCGUGAUCCGGAUUUAUUGGGGUUAAAGGGUGCGUAGGCUGUGAGGUAAGUCAGCGGUGAAAUGCCCCCGCUCAACGGGGUGAAGUGCCAUUGAUACUGCCUUGCUGGAAUGCGGAUGCCGUGGGAGGAAUGUGUGGUGUAGCGGUGAAAUGCAUAGAUAUCACACAGAACACCGAUUGCGAAGGCAUCUCACGAAUCCGCGAUUGACGCUGAUGCACGAAAGCGUGGGUAUCAAACAGGAUUAGAUACCCCAGUAGUC
This 460-nucleotide ribosomal RNA is filed under the name uncultured bacterium. RNAcentral's name for it is "partial 16S ribosomal RNA". It matches the Rfam family "Bacterial small subunit ribosomal RNA", at positions 338 to 795 of the family's 1533-position model. The record is from RNAcentral.